UCGCAUACGAUGUGUAGCAAUCUAGGCACUUUCACUUGUUCGAGUUGUAAUUUGAAGAAGGUAUCUUUGGAGUUGGCCCCCGUCUAUGUUCCUUGGAACAGGACGUCACAGAGGGUGAGAAUCCCGUGCGAUGGGGAGACCAAUUCUAUGUAAAGUUCCUUCGAAGAGUCGAGUUGUUUGGGAAUGCAGCUCUAAGUGGGUGGUAAAUUCCAUCUAAAGCUAAAUAUUGGCGAGAGACCGAUAGCGAACAAGUACAGUGAUGGAAAGAUGAAAAGAACUUUGAAAAGAGAGUGAAAAAGUACGUGAAAUUGUUGAAAGGGAAGGGCUUUUGAUCAGACUUGGUGUUUAGUACUCUCUACUCCUUGUGGGUGGGGCUCUUGCUUUAUACUGGGCCAGCAUCGGUUUGGAUGGUAGGAUAAUAGCAUUGGAAUGUGGCUUCAUUCGUGAAGUGUUAUAGCCCUUGUUGAUACUACCUAUCUAGACCGAGGACUGCGUCUUUUGACUAGGAUGCUGGCGUAAUGAUUAAAAGCC
This 531-nucleotide ribosomal RNA is filed under the name Nakazawaea ernobii. Its description in RNAcentral is "eukaryotic LSU rRNA". It matches the Rfam family "Eukaryotic large subunit ribosomal RNA", at positions 87 to 646 of the family's 3401-position model. Lineage: Eukaryota; Fungi; Ascomycota; Pichiomycetes; Alaninales; Pachysolenaceae. The record is from RNAcentral.